GUCCAGGGGCGGAGAAUCGAACCCACAACCUUCCGCUUACCGGGCAGAUGCCAUGUCCACUAGGCUACCCUGGA
RNAcentral lists this transfer RNA (74 nucleotides) under Cordylochernes scorpioides. RNAcentral describes it as "tRNA-Thr". Lineage: Eukaryota; Metazoa; Arthropoda; Arachnida; Pseudoscorpiones; Chernetidae. The record is from RNAcentral.